UGGACUGUUCAAUAGACAGGUAUGCUCUUAAAAGCAUGUCUGUCACCACUAAGUGGGAUCCAGGUUGGAGCUCCAGGGUCAUAUCAUAAAGUUGCUGUAUCCUUGGUGAUGUAUCUCCAAGUUCCUUUUUGAAUAUUUCAAAUCAAUGGUUUGUGGUCCAUUUCUACAGUGAAUCUCCAAUCAUACAGUAAGUUAUGAAAACCUGUCUAUAUGUGGACCAGUCCAAGAGUUUCUUUUUCAAUUUUUUACGUAGUUUCUCAGCAGCUGUCAUAGCCCUAGAUGCAUAUGAGACUGGCAACCAAUCAGUCUCAUGGUGUUGUAAUAGUAAUGCUCAAAAUCCAUCUUUUGGUAAAAGCCUAUUUCCACUCUUGAGGUAUUUGAAAACUAUUAUCAAAUCCCCUCUCAGUCUUCUCUUCUCCAGGCUAAAUAACCCUAUCUCUUUGAGUUUCUUCCUCAUAAGUCAUGCUUUCCAGGCUUCUAAUGUUUUUUGUUUCUGUCUACUGGCCUAUUUCCAGUCUGUCUGCAUCCUUCUUGAAGUGUACGGCCCAAAACUGGACACACUGCUUCAGCUGAAACUAUCUGUCAAAUUUGGCAAGAAUUUGUGAGUAACUUCAGAUAACCAUACAGCAGCUAAGGCAUGGAGACUCGACGAUGAGAGGCACUUGAGACCGGGACGCUGCGAGAAAUGCACUAGACCGGGGAGAGGCCGGGAACGGCGGGGCCCAGCGCCCUCCUGCCAGGUCCACCGCCCCAGAAGGAGCCGCGGGAGGAGGAUGCUGCUCUGGCUCGGGGCUCAUUAACAGAGUUAAACGCCUGCUGAGGCUGGUAAACGGGACAUUUUGGGGGCGGGAGGGAAGGCUGAAGCCUUUUACAACACCUGUCGGGGAUGUUUUGUGGGGAACCCUGUGAGAAUCGGAGCCGUCUAAGGUGUAGGUGUGCGGGGUCCCCGAGCUGCCUUGCUCCGAGGUGUGUCCCCAGAGACGUGGGCGGGUGCAGAAGACACCGGCCCGUGCCUGUGACAGCUGAAGCCCCGAGUCCCUGCCGGACAGGAGAGCUCCUCGAAGGGGCGGCGGACCGGACACUUCGCGCUGACUGAUGCUCGGACUCGCUGGGUCGAAAUAGCAAAUACCCGCGGAGCGAGGCAGCUCGGGGCGUUUCUUGGGGUGUUAACUGAGAGGCUUGCCGGCCCGUCCUCCCGCAGGGGGAGGCCAAACGCAAGCCCUGGCCCGGGCCGCGGAGGUUUUCCUCUCACUUGUGCAAAGCGGGAUCACCGGCCGGUGGAGAGGACCGACCCCCUCUCCGCCAGCGGGCUGGCCCACACCUCCCCAGUGCCUUCUUGCUCCCACCCGGGCCAAGGAAGCGGGUUGACCCCGCUAGACUUGCACAGGGCCUGCUCUCCAGGACGGCCUUCGCACCCGGGGCCACGCACGGCCGGGCCCAGCCGGGGGCAGAGCAGAAGCGUCCGCAGCGCACGUCGGGCCGGCCCCGGUGUGGUGCCCGCCCCGUCCGUUUGUCACCGGUAGCUGCGGGGCUGGUCCCCCCCGCCCUCCCUGUGCCCGCUGCAUUCAGCCUGUCCCCUUGAUUAAAAGGGCACUUUUAUUUUUCCAACGGAGGUGCCCUUGUUGCGCGGGCUGCUAUACAUUUGUCACUCACUCGCCUGGGCUCUGGCACGCCGCGAUCUGUCCCUUUUUACAGCGAACCGCGGCGGUGACAAUCAGCCCGGGGGAAGGCGCGGCUUGGGGAACGGGAGCCGGGGAAAGCGCCGCUCCCCCUGCCCUCCCCUCCCCCCUUUGAAUUCCUUGCCACCGAGCUGAAUAA
This is a long non-coding RNA of Alligator mississippiensis (American alligator), 1818 nucleotides long. RefSeq lists it as uncharacterized. NCBI's taxonomy places the organism in Eukaryota, Metazoa, Chordata, Crocodylia, Alligatoridae. The record is from RefSeq and is a predicted model, not a curated record. The transcript is spliced from 3 exons.